GGCUAAGUGGGGCCACCCUGCUGGAAGAAAUACAUAUAAGAGUAGGAGCUUUGACUUUUUAAUUCUAUGUCUAACCCUCUCAUUCUAGGUGAUUUCUGAUUCUCUAGUUCCAUGGCUUCAACUAUGAUCUGACAAUACCAACUGCGUGUUUCCAGCAAGGAUUUCACCCUUAAGCUCCAGAAUCAUAUACCUGCCUGCUUACUUGACACAUACACUUCAAUUCUAACAGCUCUUACUCCAUGUAAACAAAUUCUGCUUAUUUGGUUCACUGCUACAUCUUAACACCUAUGAUAAUGUCUAUCUGUAAUAAGCCCCUACUCUAUAUUAUUGAAUUAAUAAAGAAUGGAGAUCCCAGAAUGGAACCCUGAAGGAACGCUCAUAUUUGAGGAUUUGGGGAAUAAUAAUAAAAGAAGCUUGUAAAGAAAACUGAAUAGUCUCCAAAGAAGACAAAAAUAAACCGAAAGAGUUCAGUGGCCUCACUGAAGCCACAGGAAGUGACUAUGUCCAGCUUGAGGAAGUGGUUAACACUUGAAAAUGCUACAGUGAAAAUUCUGACCAGCACAGACCAGUUAAGAAGUUGCUGCAAUAAUUUAGGAUAAAAGAGUAGCCUACUAGUAUUUAACUGAUGCCACAACACAGCCAGCUUCCACUGAUGUACAGGGGAUGGAGGACAACAUGAGCUGAAUAAGCAAACCUCAGCAACAUUCUCCAGGACUGAUUUCUUGCACUCAAAGGCUCAUAGAUUCUCAAAAUCUGAAAUUGGAAGCUGGAAGUUGUAAAAAAACUACAAAUUCGGGGAACAAUUAAGUAAUGCCACUAUAAUAUUCAAGAAAGCAAAAUUGAACACAUAGGAAAAUAGAAUUUGUUCAAAGAAGGAAGAUCCUGUCAUUGAAAUAAGAGAUAAAUCAAAAGUUAAAUGGGAGAGAUUAUCUUUAGGAAGAGGCAUCAGCUGACUGAGGCAGAGGCAGUGGAGAGUGGACAUUUCUCUCUGUUAAGAGAUCUCAAAAGAAAGGCAUCAGAUAACAGUAAAACAAGUUGAAAUUUGUCUUCAUCAUUAUCCCUGCCACUCUACUGUUUUUUGGACACUGUGUGCCUCAAGUGGAAAGUAGGACUAGAAAAGCAUCAGUGAUUCUGUCUGGCAGCCCUUGUAAGUGUGGGAGG
Molecule: long non-coding RNA, 1161 nt
Organism: Canis lupus familiaris (dog)
Lineage: Eukaryota; Metazoa; Chordata; Mammalia; Carnivora; Canidae
Exons: 6
Source: RefSeq, a predicted model, not a curated record